RNAcentral lists this long non-coding RNA (911 nucleotides) under Phaseolus vulgaris (common bean). RNAcentral's name for it is "long non-coding RNA (PVUL_LNC003580)". The record is from RNAcentral. Lineage: Eukaryota; Viridiplantae; Streptophyta; Magnoliopsida; Fabales; Fabaceae.
GUUAAUCAAUAAAAACAACUAUACAUAUAUAAAUAAUAAAAACUCAUUAUCUAAUAUCGUCAUCAACAGUAAAACUUCUAUCAAAUGCAUAAUCAACAAAAUUGUAGAAAAGAAAGACUCGCUGUCAAAUCCAUCCAAUUCUUCCUACGUCUCUUCCACAAUAUCACCCACAACUGCAUACAAUACCCCAACUCCUUCUUUCCCAUUCAAAACUCAUAUUUUUUGGCCAACUAAACCAAACAUUUAAUUUAAUUCCAACAAAAAAAUGAAAACAAUUAAAAAUAGUAGAUUAUGACCAGAAGAAGAAGAUGACAAAAUCAUGUGUUGUGUUGGCCUUGAGACCAUUCCACAGAGCAGCCCCAAACCAAUGAACAGUGCUGAGAAUGUUGUCUCCUGGGUUGUUAAUGUUGAGGCAUAAUAUUAAUACAUCAACUCUUUCAUUUCAACACCUCUGCCACUCAACAUUCUCGUCUCGUUCUUGGCUCUUCCUAGACACAAACCCAAUUUCCAACAAAAUGUUAAGUUUGCAUGUUUUAUGUAUAAUCCUCAUUUACAUGUUUUUUUUUUAAAAAAAAAUUGUCUUUUUUGUGUGAAUAGUACUCAAUAUAUGUAUUACUAAAAAAUGCAAUGUUUUGUCAACAAAAUGUUUUUUAAGUUGAAUAAUUGAGAGAAAACACAACAUUGAGAAAAGGUUUGAAUCUAAUUAAUAAAAACCUUCUAUAUGGAUUACCUUUUGGUAUACUUCCUUGAUUUGAUUUUGAGAUUAAUCUCAUCAUUCUUUAAAAAAAUUUAUGUGCCUCUUCGUCGUCUUCAUCUUUGUCCAUGUUGCUGGGUAUUUCUCUAAACUAUAAAAAUUAAAAGAUAGGUAUAAAUAUUCUUUUUGUCACUGGUCAAAAAUUGAUAACUUUGAU